GCAAUGGACGAAAGUCUGACCGAGCAACGCCGCGUGAGUGAAGAAGGUUUUCGGAUCGUAAAGCUCUGUUGUAAGUCAAGAACGUGUGUGAGAGUGGAAAGUUCACACAGUGACGGUAGCUUACCAGAAAGGGACGGCUAACUACGUGCCAGCAGCCGCGGUAAUACGUAGGUCCCGAGCGUUGUCCGGAUUUAUUGGGCGUAAAGGGAGCGCAGGCGGUCAGGAAAGUCUGGAGUAAAAGGCUAUGGCUCAACCAUAGUGUGCUCUGGAAACUGUCUGACUUGAGUGCAGAAGGGGAGAGUGGAAUUCCAUGUGUAGCGGUGAAAUGCGUAGAUAUAUGGAGGAACACCAGUGGCGAAAGCGGCUCUCUGGUCUGUCACUGACGCUGAGGCUCGAAAGCGUGGGUAGCGAACAGGAUUAGAUACCCUGGUAGUCCACGCCGUAAACGAUGAGUGCUAGGUGUUAGGCCCUUUCCGGGGCUUAGUGCCGGAGCUAACGCAAUAAGCACUCCGCCUGGGGAGUACGAACGCAAGGUUGAAACUCAAAGGAAUUGACGGGGGCCCGCACAAGCGGUGGAGCAUGUGGUUUAAUUCGAAGCAACGCGAAGAGCCUUACCAGGUCUGACAUCCGAUGC
Molecule: ribosomal RNA, 634 nt
Filed under: Streptococcus mutans
Lineage: Bacteria; Bacillati; Bacillota; Bacilli; Lactobacillales; Streptococcaceae
Description: bacterial SSU rRNA
Rfam family: Bacterial small subunit ribosomal RNA
Source: RNAcentral